Molecule: ribosomal RNA, 2930 nt
Filed under: Cronobacter condimenti 1330
Lineage: Bacteria; Pseudomonadati; Pseudomonadota; Gammaproteobacteria; Enterobacterales; Enterobacteriaceae
Description: bacterial LSU rRNA
Rfam family: Bacterial large subunit ribosomal RNA
Source: RNAcentral
GGGUUGUGAGGUUAAGCGAACAAGCGUACACGGUGGAUGCCCUGGCAGUCAGAGGCGAUGAAGGACGUGCUAAUCUGCGAAAAGCGCCGGUAAGGUGAUAUGAACCGUUAUAGCCGGCGAUGUCCGAAUGGGGAAACCCAGUGCAAUUCGUUGCACUAUCUCAGCAUGAAUACAUAGUGCUGUGAAGCGAACCGGGGGAACUGAAACAUCUAAGUACCCCGAGGAAAAGAAAUCAACCGAGAUUCCCCCAGUAGCGGCGAGCGAACGGGGAACAGCCCAGAGCCUGAAUCAGCUUGUGUGUCAGUGGAACGGUCUGGAAAGGCCGGCGAUACAGGGUGACAGCCCCGUACACGAAGGCACACAGGUUGUGAGCUCGAUGAGUAGGGCGGGACACGUGAUAUCCUGUCUGAAGAUGGGGGGACCAUCCUCCAAGGCUAAAUACUCCUGACUGACCGAUAGUGAACCAGUACCGUGAGGGAAAGGCGAAAAGAACCCCGGCGAGGGGAGUGAAACAGAACCUGAAACCGUGUACGUACAAGCAGUGGGAGCCUUCGUAAGAGGGUGACUGCGUACCUUUUGUAUAAUGGGUCAGCGACUUAUAUUCUGUAGCAAGGUUAACCGUAUAGGGGAGCCGAAGGGAAACCGAGUCUUAAUUGGGCGUUAAGUUGCAGGGUAUAGACCCGAAACCCGGUGAUCUAGCCAUGGGCAGGUUGAAGGUUGGGUAACACUAACUGGAGGACCGAACCGACUAAUGUUGAAAAAUUAGCGGAUGACCUGUGGCUGGGGGUGAAAGGCCAAUCAAACCGGGAGAUAGCUGGUUCUCCCCGAAAGCUAUUUAGGUAGCGCCUCGUGAACUCAUCUUCGGGGGUAGAGCACUGUUUCGGCUAGGGGGCCAUCCCGGCUUACCAACCCGAUGCAAACUGCGAAUACCGAAGAAUGUUAUCACGGGAGACACACGGCGGGUGCUAACGUCCGUCGUGAAGAGGGAAACAACCCAGACCGCCAGCUAAGGUCCCAAAGUCAUGGUUAAGUGGGAAACGAUGUGGGAAGGCCCAGACAGCCAGGAUGUUGGCUUAGAAGCAGCCAUCAUUUAAAGAAAGCGUAAUAGCUCACUGGUCGAGUCGGCCUGCGCGGAAGAUGUAACGGGGCUAAACCAUGCACCGAAGCUGCGGCAGCGACACUUAUGUGUUGUUGGGUAGGGGAGCGUUCUGUAAGCCUGUGAAGGUGUGCUGUGAGGCAUGCUGGAGGUAUCAGAAGUGCGAAUGCUGACAUAAGUAACGAUAAAGCGGGUGAAAAGCCCGCUCGCCGGAAGACCAAGGGUUCCUGUCCAACGUUAAUCGGGGCAGGGUGAGUCGACCCCUAAGGCGAGGCCGAAAGGCGUAGUCGAUGGGAAACAGGUUAAUAUUCCUGUACUUGGUGUUACUGCGAAGGGGGGACGGAGAAGGCUAUGUUAGCCGGGCGACGGUUGUCCCGGUUUAAGCGUGUAGGUGUGUGUUCCAGGUAAAUCCGGUUCACUUUAACACUGAGGCGUGAUGACGAGGCACUACGGUGCUGAAGUAACAAAUGCCCUGCUUCCAGGAAAAGCCUCUAAGCAUCAGGUAACACGAAAUCGUACCCCAAACCGACACAGGUGGUCAGGUAGAGAAUACCAAGGCGCUUGAGAGAACUCGGGUGAAGGAACUAGGCAAAAUGGUGCCGUAACUUCGGGAGAAGGCACGCUGACAUGUAGGUGAAGCCCCUGCGGGUGGAGCUGAAGUCAGUCGAAGAUACCAGCUGGCUGCAACUGUUUAUUAAAAACACAGCACUGUGCAAACACGAAAGUGGACGUAUACGGUGUGACGCCUGCCCGGUGCCGGAAGGUUAAUUGAUGGGGUUAUCGCAAGAGAAGCUCCUGAUCGAAGCCCCGGUAAACGGCGGCCGUAACUAUAACGGUCCUAAGGUAGCGAAAUUCCUUGUCGGGUAAGUUCCGACCUGCACGAAUGGCGUAAUGAUGGCCAGGCUGUCUCCACCCGAGACUCAGUGAAAUUGAACUCGCUGUGAAGAUGCAGUGUACCCGCGGCAAGACGGAAAGACCCCGUGAACCUUUACUACAGCUUGACACUGAACAUUGAGCCUUGAUGUGUAGGAUAGGUGGGAGGCUUUGAAGCGUGGACGCCAGUCUGCGUGGAGCCAACCUUGAAAUACCACCCUUUAAUGUUUGAUGUUCUAACCUGGCGCCGUGAUCCGGCGUGGGGACAGUGUCUGGUGGGUAGUUUGACUGGGGCGGUCUCCUCCCAAAGUGUAACGGAGGAGCACGAAGGUCAGCUAAUCCUGGUCGGACAUCAGGAGGUUAGUGCAAUGGCAUAAGCUGGCUUGACUGCGAGAGUGACGGCUCGAGCAGGUGCGAAAGCAGGUCAUAGUGAUCCGGUGGUUCUGUAUGGAAGGGCCAUCGCUCAACGGAUAAAAGGUACUCCGGGGAUAACAGGCUGAUACCGCCCAAGAGUUCAUAUCGACGGCGGUGUUUGGCACCUCGAUGUCGGCUCAUCACAUCCUGGGGCUGAAGUAGGUCCCAAGGGUAUGGCUGUUCGCCAUUUAAAGUGGUACGCGAGCUGGGUUUAGAACGUCGUGAGACAGUUCGGUCCCUAUCUGCCGUGGGCGCUGGAGAAUUGAGGGGGGCUGCUCCCAGUACGAGAGGACCGGAGUGGACGCAUCACUGGUGUUCGGGUUGUCAUGCCAAUGGCACUGCCCGGUAGCUAAAUGCGGAAGAGAUAAGUGCUGAAAGCAUCUAAGCACGAAACUUGCCCCGAGAUGAGUUCUCCCUGAGACUAUAAGUCUCCUGAAGGAACGUUGAAGACGACGACGUUGAUAGGCCGGGUGUGUAAGCGCAGCGAUGCGUUGAGCUAACCGGUACUAAUGAACCGUGAGGCUUAACCUUACAACGCCAAAGAAGU